RNAcentral lists this ribosomal RNA (468 nucleotides) under uncultured bacterium. Its description in RNAcentral is "partial 16S ribosomal RNA". It matches the Rfam family "Bacterial small subunit ribosomal RNA", at positions 28 to 507 of the family's 1533-position model. The record is from RNAcentral.
GACGAACGCUGGCGGCGUGCUUAACACAUGCAAGUCGAACGGAAAGGCCCUGCUUUUGUGGGGUGCUCGAGUGGCGAACGGGUGAGUAACACGUGAGUAACCUGCCCUUGACUUUGGGAUAACUUCGGGAAACUGGGGCUAAUACCGGAUAGGAGCUCCUGCUGCAUGGUGGGGGUUGGAAAGUUUCGGCGGUUGGGGAUGGACUCGCGGCUUAUCAGCUUGUUGGUGGGGUAGUGGCUUACCAAGGCUUUGACGGGUAGCCGGCCUGAGAGGGUGACCGGGCACAUUGGGACUGAGGUGCGGCCCAGACUCCUACGGGAGGCAGCGGUGGGGAAUAUUGCACAAAGGGCGGAAGCCUGAUGCAGCAACGCCGCGUGCGGGAUGACGGCCUUCGGGGUGUAAACCGCUUGCGCCUGUAACGAAGCGUGAGUGACGGUAAUGGGUAAAGAAGCACCGGCUAACUACGUG